This 497-nucleotide ribosomal RNA is filed under the name uncultured bacterium. RNAcentral describes it as "partial 16S ribosomal RNA". It matches the Rfam family "Bacterial small subunit ribosomal RNA", at positions 28 to 507 of the family's 1533-position model. The record is from RNAcentral.
GGUGAACGCUGGCGGCGUGCCUAAUACAUGCAAGUCGAGCGAACAGACGAGGAGCUUGCUCCUCUGACGUUAGUGGUGGACGGGUGAGUAACACGUGGAUAACCUACCUAUAAGACUGGGAUAACUUCGGGAAACCGGAGCUAAUACCGGAUAAUAUAUUGAACCGCAUGGUUCAAUAGUGAAAGACGGUUUUGCUGUCACUUAUAGAUGGAUCCGCGCCGCAUUAGCUAGUUGGUAAGGUAACGGCUUACCAAGGCAACGAUGCGUAGCCGACCUGAGAGGGUGAUCGGCCACACUGGAACUGAGACACGGUCCAGACUCCUACGGGAGGCAGCAGUAGGGAAUCUUCCGCAAAGGGCGAAAGCCUGACGGAGCAACGCCGCGUGAGUGAUGAAGGUCUUCGGAUCGUAAAACUCUGUUAUUAGGGAAGAACAAAUGUGUAAGUAACUAUGCACGUCUUGACGGUACCUAAUCAGAAAGCCACGGCUAACUACGUG